This 1253-nucleotide ribosomal RNA is filed under the name Thoradonta yunnana. RNAcentral describes it as "16S ribosomal RNA". The stretch from base 820 to 1185 matches the Rfam family "Archaeal large subunit ribosomal RNA", at positions 2150 to 2716 of the family's 2987-position model. Lineage: Eukaryota; Metazoa; Arthropoda; Insecta; Orthoptera; Tetrigidae. The record is from RNAcentral.
UUAAUUUUUAUUUAAAUAAUUUUAUUUAUUUUAGGUUAAGUAUUUUAGAACAACUUAUUUUUAUUAUAGUAAAUUUUUAAUGUAAGUGAUUUAUUUUAAAGUUAAUUAAGAAUUUUUUUUUUAUUUUACCUUUUGUAUCAGGGUUGAUUAAGUAUUAAGUUUUUAUAAGUUUUUCCCGAAUUGUGAUGAUUUAUAUUAUAAUGAUUUUUAUUGUUUCAUAAAUAUUUAAAAUUUUAAUAUGGAAGUGAUAUUCUAUACGUUUUGCAAGAUAUCUGGUUUUCUAAGAUUAAAUUAAAUUUGCAGGAAUUUGUUAAACUUAUUUAUUUUAUAUUGUUUUAUUAAUUUUCGGUUAUUUUUUAGGGGUUAAGCUCUAGAUAUUAAUUAUAAUUUAUUAGUAGUUUAUUUUUAUGUAGGCUUGGAAUUAGCCAUUGUUAUAAGUUUGUAUUAUUUUAUUAUUUGGAUUAAUUAUUUUUAAUUUAUUUAAUUUUUUUAUUAGAAUUGAAAUUAAAAUUUUAUUUGUUUGGUGAUAAUGGUUAAAUUAGUAUAUGAUUUAUGUAUUUUUAAUAAUAUUUGAGAUUUUAUUAAAAGGAAUUCGGCAAUAAUAUUUCCGCUUGUUUAUCAAAAACAUCUCUUGUAGAGUUUUAUUAUAGGUAGGGCCUGCACACUGAGAAUUUAAAGAGCCGCAGUAUUUUGACUGUGCAAAGGUAGCAUAAUCAUUAGCAUAUUAAUUGUAUGCUGGGAUGAAAGGUUUGACGAGAAAUAUUCUGUCUCUUUUUAAAAUAUAGAAUUUUACUUUUUAGUAAAAAGGCUGAGAUAAAUUUUUUGGACGAUAAGACCCUAUAGAGUUUAAUUUGUUAGGUUAUUAUGGUUUGGGUUAGAAUUUAUUGUGAUAAUUAAAUUGAAUUUAGUUGGGGCGAUUUGAAUAAUAAUUAAACUAUUCAUUUGUUUUUUCAUUGAUUUAUGUAUUUAUGAUCUUUUAUUAUUGAUUUUUAGAUAAAAUUACCUUAGGGAUAACAGCGCAAUCAUCUCUGAGAGUUCUUAUUGACGGGAUGGAUUGUGACCUCGAUGUUGGAUUAAGGUUAAUAAUCAGGUGAAGGAGCUUGAUUUAAUUGGUCUGUUCGACCAUUGAAAUCUUACAUGAUCUGAGUUCAGACCGGCGUGAGCCAGGUUGGUUUCUAUCCAAAAAUGAUUUAAAUUUACUAGUACGAAAGGACCGUUAAUUUUAAUUAUUUUAUUUUAUUUGAUUAAUAUUA